CUGAUUGAUGGUGCUUGCACCUGAUUGACGAUGGAUUACCAGUGAGUGGCGGACGGGUGAGUAACACGUAGGUAACCUGCCCCGGAGCGGGGGAUAACAUUUGGAAACAGAUGCUAAUACCGCAUAACAACAAAAGCCACAUGGCUUUUGUUUGAAAGAUGGCUUUGGCUAUCACUCUGGGAUGGACCUGCGGUGCAUUAGCUAGUUGGUAAGGUAACGGCUUACCAAGGCGAUGAUGCAUAGCCGAGUUGAGAGACUGAUCGGCCACAAUGGAACUGAGACACGGUCCAUACUCCUACGGGAGGCAGCAGUAGGGAAUCUUCCACAAUGGGCGCAAGCCUGAUGGAGCAACACCGCGUGAGUGAAGAAGGGUUUCGGCUCGUAAAGCUCUGUUGUUGGAGAAGAACGUGCGUGAGAGUAACUGUUCACGCAGUGACGGUAUCCAACCAGAAAGUCACGGCUAACUACGUGCCAGCAGCCGCGGUAAUACGUAGGUGGCAAGCGUUAUCCGGAUUUAUUGGGCGUAAAGCGAGCGCAGGCGGUUGCUUAGGUCUGAUGUGAAAGCCUUCGGCUUAACCGAAAGAAGUGCAUCGGAAACCGGGCGACUUGAGUGCAGAAGAGGACAGUGGAACUCCAUGUGUAGCGGUGGAAUGCGUAGAUAU
Molecule: ribosomal RNA, 662 nt
Filed under: uncultured bacterium
Lineage: Bacteria
Description: bacterial SSU rRNA
Rfam family: Bacterial small subunit ribosomal RNA
Source: RNAcentral